CAGUGCGGAGCUAUAAUGCAGUCGAGCGGAUCUUUGGGACUUGCUCUUAAAGAUUAGCGGCGGACGGGUGAGUAACACGUGGGCAACCUGCCUGUAAGACUGGGAUAACUCCGGGAAACCGGGGCUAAUACCGGAUAAUUCAUUUCCCCUCAUGAGGAAAUGCUGAAAGACGGUUUCGGCUGUCACUUACAGAUGGGCCCGCGGCGCAUUAGCUAGUUGGUGAGGUAACGGCUCACCAAGGCAACGAUGCGUAGCCGACCUGAGAGGGUGAUCGGCCACACUGGGACUGAAACACGGCCCAGACUCCUACGGGAGGCAGCAGUAGGGAAUCUUCCGCAAUGGACGAAAGUCUGACGGAACAACGCCGCGUGAGCGAUGAAGGCCUUCGGGUCGUAAAGCUCUGUUGUUAGGGAAGAACAAGUAUCGGAAUAACUGCCGGUACCUUGACGGUACCUAACCAGAAAGCCACGGCUAACUACGUGCCAGCAGCCGCGGUAAUACGUAAGUGGCAAGCGUUGUCCGGAAUUUAUUGGGCGUAAAAGCGCGCGCAGGGUGGUUCCCUUAAGUCUGAGUUGUGAAAGCCCACGGCCUCAACCGUGGAGGGUUCAUUGGAAACUUGGGAACUUGAGUGCAGAAAAAAGAAAGUGGAAUUCCCACGUGUAGCGGUGAAAUGCGUAGAGAUGUGGGAGGAACACCAGUGGCGAAAGCGACUUUUCUGGUCUGUAACUGACACUGAAGCGCGGAAAGCGUGGGGAGCGAACAGGAUUAGAUACCCUGGGUAGUCCCACGCCGUAAACGAUGAGUGCUAAGUGUUAAAAGGUUCCGCCCUUUAGUGCUGCAGCCAACGCAUUAAGCACUCCGCCUGGGGAGUACGCCGCAAGCUGAAACUCAAAGAAUGACGGGGCCCGCCACAAGCGGUGGAACCAUGUGAUUAUUCGAGCACCGCGAGACUACCAGUCUGAAUCUCUGACACUCUAGAAAGACGUUCCCUCAGGAUAGUGACAGUGUGCAUGUGUCUCAGCUGUCCUGAAGUUUGGGUAAGUCGACGAGCACUGACUAGUGCAUCUUGACUUAGUAUGCAGUACAC
RNAcentral lists this ribosomal RNA (1087 nucleotides) under Bacillus sp. (in: firmicutes). RNAcentral's name for it is "bacterial SSU rRNA". It matches the Rfam family "Bacterial small subunit ribosomal RNA", at positions 40 to 1146 of the family's 1533-position model. Lineage: Bacteria; Bacillati; Bacillota; Bacilli; Caryophanales; Bacillaceae. The record is from RNAcentral.